This 338-nucleotide unclassified non-coding RNA is filed under the name Malassezia sp. RNAcentral describes it as "partial internal transcribed spacer region". The stretch from base 1 to 46 matches the Rfam family "Eukaryotic small subunit ribosomal RNA", at positions 1786 to 1831 of the family's 1831-position model. Lineage: Eukaryota; Fungi; Basidiomycota; Malasseziomycetes; Malasseziales; Malasseziaceae. The record is from RNAcentral.
AAGUCGUAACAAGGUUUCUGUAGGUGAACCUGCAGAAGGAUCAUUAGUGAAGAUUUGGGCAGGCCAUACGGACGCCACAAAGUGUCCCUGGCCGCCUACACCCACUAUACAUCCACAAACCCGUGUGCACUGUCCUUGGAAAGGGCAUUUGGAGAGAAAAAAGAAAGAGAAGCGAGAACAGUGCGAUCCGUCGCGUUGGGCGUUUUCUCUGACUUGGUCUCUCUGAGGCCCUUUCCUUGCUACAAACUCGAAUGGUUAGUAUGAACGUGGAACUUGGUUGGACCGUCACUGGCCAACAAACUAUACACAACUUUCGACAACGGAUCUCUUGGUUCUCC